AUUGAACGCUGGCGGCAGGCCUAACACAUGCAAGUCGAGCGGAUGAAGGGAGCUUGCUCCUGGAUUCAGCGGCGGACGGGUGAGUAAUGCCUAGGAAUCUGCCUGGUAGUGGGGGAUAACGUCCGGAAACGGGCGCUAAUACCGCAUACGUCCUGAGGGAGAAAGUGGGGGAUCUUCGGACCUCACGCUAUCAGAUGAGCCUAGGUCGGAUUAGCUAGUUGGUGGGGUAAAGGCCUACCAAGGCGACGAUCCGUAACUGGUCUGAGAGGAUGAUCAGUCAGACUGGAACUGAGACACGGCCCAGACUCCUACGGGAGGCAGCAGUGGGGAAUAUUGGACAAGGGGCGAAAGCCUGAUCCAGCCAUGCCGCGUGUGUGAAGAAGGUCUUCGGAUUGUAAAGCACUUUAAGUUGGGAGGAAGGGCAGUAAGUUAAUACCUUGCUGUUUUGACGUUACCAACAGAAUAAGCACCGGCUAACUUCGUG
Molecule: ribosomal RNA, 484 nt
Filed under: uncultured bacterium
Lineage: Bacteria
Description: partial 16S ribosomal RNA
Rfam family: Bacterial small subunit ribosomal RNA
Source: RNAcentral